GACGAACGCUGGCGGCGUGCCUAACACAUGCAAGUCGAGCGGACAGACCCGGCUUUUGCUGCUUUCUUGUUUGGGGCACGCGGGAGUAUCACGCGUGUAUACCCUACCUGUCAUUGUGAUAAAUUCUGGAAAAUCCGGCUAAUACCCGGUAGAAUCUCCUGCUGCGUAGGGGUGGUUGGUAAGAUUCGGCGGUGGGGGAUGUUCUCGCUGCUUAUCAGCUGCUUGGUCAAGUAGUGACUGACCAAGGCUAUGACGGCUAGCCGGCCUGAGAGGGUGACCGGCCACAUUGCGACUGAGAUACGGAGCAGACUCCAACGGGACGCAGUAGGGGGGAGUAUGGCACAAUGGGCGGAAGCCUGAUGCAGCGACGCCGCGUGCGGGAUGACGGCCUUCGGGGUGUAAACAGAUUUCGCAGGUGACGAACCCUGAGUGACGGUAACGGGUAAAGAAGCACCGGCUAACUACGUG
RNAcentral lists this ribosomal RNA (468 nucleotides) under uncultured bacterium. RNAcentral describes it as "partial 16S ribosomal RNA". It matches the Rfam family "Bacterial small subunit ribosomal RNA", at positions 28 to 507 of the family's 1533-position model. The record is from RNAcentral.